AAAUGACAAGCAUCCAUAGGAGCAACAUCACACCACACUUUGUCUUUAUAAUACUUGCCAAUAGAAAAUGAAACUAAACAUCUUUUAGUUACUUUGAUGUCAUUUCCUUUUUGCAACCAACAUAAUUGAUAUGGAUGUGGAUGAGGGAUUGUGUCCAACUUCAGCUUCUGCACCAUCUCCAAAGAAACUACGUUCUCAAAACUGCCGCUGUCGAUGAUCACCAAGCACACCUUGCCA
RNAcentral lists this long non-coding RNA (237 nucleotides) under Musa acuminata (dwarf banana). RNAcentral's name for it is "long non-coding RNA (MACU_LNC009422)". The record is from RNAcentral. Lineage: Eukaryota; Viridiplantae; Streptophyta; Magnoliopsida; Zingiberales; Musaceae.